Non-coding RNA from Rattus norvegicus (Norway rat), 1016 nucleotides. NCBI's taxonomy places the organism in Eukaryota, Metazoa, Chordata, Mammalia, Rodentia, Muridae. The record is from RefSeq and is a predicted model, not a curated record.
AGUAGAGUUGGUACAAUGGAGGGUAACUCCUGAAACUCACUUGUCUACCAAGGUGGGAGUGUGGUAUCUUUGGUGCUCUAAGGACGUCACCGGAAGUCCUGCUGUGAUCGUCUCUGAGUGGUGAUUGGAUAAGAAUGGAGGCAGCAGCUGCGAGCCAUCAUAUAAACGAGAACCAGCCAUGGAGGGCAUAAAAAUAAUGAAUGGUCUAAACCACACUGUUAGUACUAUGUUGCCAACCAGAUGAGGAGAGCAUGUCUCCACAGAAUGGACACCCCAACCUGCUCUCUCUGGGGAGCUGGGCUAAGUGGAAGAUUGAAUGCAGGGGUUAGGUUUACCAGCGACAACUCCUCAUCCUCAUCGAAGAGAAGAAAAAUAGGGAAGGGGGACUCAUUUAAAAGAAUUUGCUGUCAAGCCCCGAUGGUCUGAGUGCCAUCCCUGGCUAUCUACAUGGUGUAAGACCAACUGCUGUGUGUUCUCCUCUGAACUUCACAUGUGUAUCAUAUGUGCAUCAUAUAUGCCUAUACAUGUGACAAUAGUAAGACCUUUAGAGAGCUUAUUACAAGAGGAAAAGUCCCCUUGAGAAUGAGCCUUGCAUAAUGAGUUGAGGAAAAAGCCCCAACACUCCCUCAAGAGGCCCAUGAAGUAACAGGUCUGGCAGAGGUGAAAAUAGCCUAAAGUGACACCCCAGAGAAAUGGUAAUUUCCCUCAGGAAUCUUAGACUGGGAGAAGAAAAAGGGCACCAACCAUAGAAAGCCCAAUGGGGCUCAGGGGCUAGAGGUAAGCACCUGGGAAACGCUGAGGGCAUUUGCUAUUGAGGUACUGUCUCCAGGGAGGUGGUAAUAAAACCAGUAUAACCAAAAACUUGAAGAGGAAAGGGAUUAUUUAGUUUACAAUUCUAAGCUGCAGAGUCUAGCUGGACAUGGUGGCACAAGCCUUUAAUCCCAGGACUCAGAAGGCAGAGGCAGGAGGCAAGGCCACCUGAUCUACAGUAAUAAGUUCCAGGCCAGCCAGGGCAA